GAGUAACGCGUGGGGAAACCUGCCCUAUACUGGGGGAUAGCAGUUGGAAACGACUGAUAAUACCGCAUAAGCGCACAGCACCGCAUGGUGCAGUGUGAAAAACUCCGGUGGUAUAGGAUGGUCCCGCGUCUGAUUAGCUAGUUGGUGAGGUAACGGCCCACCAAGGCGACGAUCAGUAGCCGGCCUGAGAGGGUGUACGGCCACAUUGGGACUGAGACACGGCCCAAACUCCUACGGGAGGCAGCAGUGGGGAAUAUUGGACAAUGGGGGGAAACCCUGAUCCAGCGACGCCCGCGUGAGUGAAGAAGUAUCUCGGUAUGUUAAAGCUCUAUCCAGCAGGGAGGAUAAUGACGGUACCUGACUAAGAAGCACCGGCUAAAUACGUGCCAGCAGCAGC
Molecule: ribosomal RNA, 397 nt
Filed under: uncultured bacterium
Lineage: Bacteria
Description: bacterial SSU rRNA
Rfam family: Bacterial small subunit ribosomal RNA
Source: RNAcentral